UCGUCCUGCGCGGAAGAUGUAACGGGGCUGUAAGCCAAUAACCGAAGAUGCGGAUGUGUAUGUCCUUCGGGAUAUACGCAUGGUAGGAGAGCGUUCCGUAGGCCUGUGAAGGUUAGGUGUAAACCUGGCUGGAGGUAUCGGAAGUGCGAAUGCUGACAUGAGUAGCGAUAAAGCGGGUGAAAAGCCCGCUCGCCGAAAGCCCAAGGUUUCCUGCGCAACGUUCAUCGGCGCAGGGUGAGUCGGCCCCUAAGGUGAGGGCGAAAGCCGUAGCUGAUGGGAAUCUGGUUAAUAUUCCAGAACCGCCGUGCAAUGCGAUGGGGGGACGGAGAAGGUUAGGCAGACCGGGUGUUGGAUGUCCCGGUGAAGCGUGUAGAGGGAUCCCUUAGGCAAAUCCGGGGGGUCAACCUCAAGGCGCGGGACCAGGGUUCUUUUGAAUCCGAAGCUGCUGAUACCAAGCUCCCAGGAAAAGCCUCUAAGCUUCAGUUGCAUGGGACCGUACCGUAAUCGGACACUCGUGGGCAGGAUGAAAAUUCUAAGGCGCUUGAGAGAACUCAGGAGGAGGAACUCGGCAAAUUGACACCGUAACUUCGGAAGAAGGUGUGCCCUGGUAGGUUGUAGCCGUACAGGCGAAGGCCGAAGGGGUUGCAAAAAAUCGGUGGCUGCGACUGUUUAAUAAAAACACAGCACUCUGCAAACACGAUGAGUGGACGUAUAGGGUGUGACGCCUGCCCGGUGCCGGAAGGUUAAAUGAUGGGGUGCAAGCUCUUGAUUGAAGCCCCGGUAAACGGCGGCCGUAACAAUAACGGUCCUGAGGUAGCGAAAUUCCUUGUCGGGUAAGUUCCGACCUGCACGAAUGGCGUAACGAUGGCCACACUGUCUCCUCCUGAGACUCAGCGAAGUUGAAAUGUUUGUGAUGAUGCAAUCUACCCGCGGCUAGACGGAAAGACCCCGUGCACCUUUACUGUAGCUUUGCAUUGGACUGUGAUGGGAUCUGUGUAGGAUAGGUGGGAGGCUUUGAAGUGGGGGCGCUAGCCCUCAUGGAGCCGACGUUGAAAUACCACCCUGAUGUCAUUGCGGUUCUAACCUUGGCCCCUUAGCGGGGUUGGGGACAGUGCAUGGUAGGCAGUUUGACUGGGGCGGUCUCCUCCCAAAGAGUAACGGAGGAGCUCGAAGGUACGCUAGGUACGGUCGGACAUCGUGCUGAUAGUGCAAUGGCACAAGCGUGCUUGACUGCGAGACUGACAAGUCGAGCAGGUGCGAAAGCAGGACAUAGUGAUCCGGUGGUUCUGAAUGGAAGGGCCAUCGCUCAACGGAUAAAAGGUACGCCGGGGAUAACAGGCUGAUUCCUCCCAAGAGUUCAUAUCGACGGGGGAGUUUGGCACCUCGAUGUCGGCUCAUCACAUCCUGGGGCUGUAGCCGGUCCCAAGGGUAUGGCUGUUCGCCAUUUAAAGUGGUACGUGAGCUGGGUUUAAAACGUCGUGAGACAGUUUGGUCCCUAUCUGCCGUGGGCGUUGGACGUUUGAGGGGGGCUGCUCCUAGUACGAGAGGACCGGAGUGGACGCACCUCUGGUGUACCGGUUAUCACGCCAGUGGUAUUGCCGGGUAGCUAAGUGCGGAAGAGAUAAGCGCUGAAAGCAUCUAAGCGCGAAACUUGCCUCGAGAUGAGACGUCCCGUGAUGUAAGUCACCUAAAGGGUCGCGGUAGACCACCGCGUUGAUAGGUCGGGUGUGGAAGCGCAGUAAUGCGUUAAGCUAACCGAUACUAAUUGCCCGUGCGGCUUGAUC
RNAcentral lists this ribosomal RNA (1784 nucleotides) under metagenome. RNAcentral describes it as "bacterial LSU rRNA". It matches the Rfam family "Bacterial large subunit ribosomal RNA", at positions 1154 to 2925 of the family's 2925-position model. The record is from RNAcentral.